RNAcentral lists this ribosomal RNA (289 nucleotides) under Halopseudomonas pachastrellae. RNAcentral's name for it is "Pseudomonas pachastrellae partial 16S ribosomal RNA". It matches the Rfam family "Bacterial small subunit ribosomal RNA", at positions 60 to 347 of the family's 1533-position model. The record is from RNAcentral. Lineage: Bacteria; Pseudomonadati; Pseudomonadota; Gammaproteobacteria; Pseudomonadales; Pseudomonadaceae.
UGCAGUCGAGCGGUAGAGAGGAGCUUGCUUCUUCGUGAAAGCGCCGGACAGGUGAGUAAAGCCUAUGAAUCUGCCUGGUAGUGGGGGACAUCGUUUCGAAAGGAACGCUAAUACCGCAUACGUCCUACAGGAGAAAGUGGGGGAUCUUCGGACCUCACGCUAUCGAAUGAACCUAGGUCGGAUUAGCUUGUAAGUGAGGUAAUGGCUCACCUAGGCAACGAUCCGUGACUGGACUGAAAGGAUGAUCAGUCACACUGGAACUGAGACACGGACCUCACUCCUACGGGAG